RNAcentral lists this ribosomal RNA (440 nucleotides) under uncultured bacterium. RNAcentral's name for it is "partial 16S ribosomal RNA". It matches the Rfam family "Bacterial small subunit ribosomal RNA", at positions 338 to 795 of the family's 1533-position model. The record is from RNAcentral.
CCUACGGGAGGCAGCAGUGGGGAAUAUUGCACAAUGGGGGAAACCCUGAUGCAGCGACGCCGCGUGAAGGAAGAAGUAUUUCGGUAUGUAAACUUCUAUCAGCAGGGAAGAAAAUGACGGUACCUGACUAUGAAGCCCCGGCUAACUACGUUCUAGCAGCCGCGGUAAUACGUAGGGGGCAAGCGUUCUCCGGAUUUACUGGGUGUAAAGGGAGCGUAGGCGGUUUAGCAAGUCAGAAGUGAAAGCCCGGGGCUCAACUCCGGGACUGCUUUUGAAACUAUUGAACUAGAUGGCAGGAGAGGUAAGUGGAAUUCCUAGUGUAGCGGUGAAAUGCGUAGAUAUUAGGAGGAACACCAGUGGCGAAGGCGGCUAACUGGACUGUAAAUGACGCUGAGGUUCGAAAGCGUGGGGAGCAAACAGGAUUAGAUACCCUUGUAGUC